CCUCUGUCCAAACUGGAGUGUGAGGGACCACUACACUGCCCUGGGUGGGUGGAGCCAAAUCUGCCCCGCCUCCUCACAGGAAGUACUAGGGCACGACAGGAAGUAGAAAAGGAGAGCCCUGGAGCUCAGUUGCUGCUGAGCUACAGGAGAGAGUGGAUGUGUCUUCUAGGGAGCAGACUCCUGUGCAAGAGCCCUGCCUGGCCCCAGAGUGGACCAACACCUAGCCAUCAGGGGAGGCACACGAGGACCCUGGGGAGCUGCCAGAGCUAGCAGCAACUGAAUACCCUGAGGAGACGGGGGAUUGUUGGACCAUGGGACCCUACACCCAGACUGUGGUAGGAAGUAGCUGAGAGGGACCAGACUCUAGUCCAGUUCUGCUGCUGGAGUGUUCUCAGUGACACUGCUAAUGGACUCCAUCUCAAGCUGAGGAUGGUUGAGAAGGAACUGAAAGGGUUGGGCCGUGCGCAUUCUAUAUGAGGCAUCAGUGAGACUGCUACUGUGCAUGCGCACCCCAACCAGACACUGCUACUGAAAAUCUCUGAUCGAUUGGUGCCGGGAGACACUGACACCUGAAAUGGAGGACCUGCAGGGACAGCAUUUGAAGAACAUUCCCUCCCUCAUUUCCUCCUUAGAGUAAGACUUGGAGAAAUUAUGCUCUCAUUAAAUGCCAGCAGGAUUCUCAGAGAGCUCGGAGAAGUUGUAACAGCCCAAAUUUGAGAACUGUUUUCCUUCAAGACAGCCACAAGGUUUAGUUAAAUUAGGUUUAACUGAUUACUAAUGGGGGACCUGAAAUGCUUUCUAUAAGGACAGAAGGCAAUUUAGAUCCUCACUAUAAACAAUGGAUUAAGAAGCUUAGUUACAAAUUCAAAAUGUGAAACAAAUUACACAAGCCUCAUAAAACAAUUAAAUCAUUACCAAAGUAUGUGAUAUGACAGUAUCAAUGGGCUGUUAUAGCACACACUAGGCAGAGCAAGAUCAGGAGUCUGUCAGGAAUCCUUCCUAGGCCCAGGACUAUCUCCCCAUUUCCAGUGCUCUUUUUCCCUUUAUUCGUUUUUCAUGAUAGUUUCUCCUCUCUGCCCUCCUUCCCCCCCGCCCCCAAAGCAAAUGCAAAAACAAACAUCACAGCUGCACUGCUCACAGAUCAGUACAUUCGAAUCAUAUGGGCGGCUGGCUUGCAGCUGCUGCUAACACUACUUCUCAACCAGAAGUCCAUGAUUGUUCCAACCAUUCAUCCAAUGUUUUAAGAUUCUUAUCCAUUCAGCAAUUCUUGAGUGAUAUUGACUUUUUUAGACAAUGGACUGGGACUGUUAUGUAGACUUCUGUAGCUGCUAUGAGCUGUUAUCUGCUUGAGUUUUAGAGGGCCAUUGGGUUCCUUCACUUUAAAAGAUCUCUCUGUUCCACAGGGACACAUGAGCGUAGUAUACCGGGAUUCAGAUUCUCUCUGACAUGCUGCAAGUUGUGUGACUGCAGCAGGAGGUAUCCAUGUACAAUAAUAACCCCAGGAUCCAGAUAUGAGACUCUGAAAGAUCAUAUGUACCUCUCUGAUAACCAGUGCCAGACUUCAGACUCACAGUGCAAUCUCCAUUGGGGCAGACAGCAUACUUCUCUUUACAGUGACCUCUCUCAGUCUAUAAUCUAGGCUGUAAUGCUAGCCCAAGGGCUGCCUUCUUCAGUGGGGAAGGAAGAAAAGAACUGAAUGUGAUUUUUUCCUAGUAGAUUUUGUACAGUUUUGCAGGUAAUAACAUUGUUUUCUGUGUGCUGUGAGAGAUGCUGCCAGUUGGAUGAGUGGGCCCUGCGUCCUAGGAUAGAUCGAUCCCAGAGGUUCCAUGUCAUUUCCAGGGGAUUUGCUAAAGAAGCUACUUAUGUCCCUUUUUCAUUUUCACCAGCUCAUUACCAGCUGCUGCUGCUUCAUGCAAUUCAGCAACACCUGCAGGAAUGAAACCCUCCCCCGCCCCCUUCAAGCCAAUUCUGGUUUAGAUAACUUUCUUUAUAAUUAAAAACAAGACAACAUUAAAACAACUGAUCAGACCCCAAAACUGAAACCAUGUCACAUCAGCACACAAGGUUGGUUUGUUUGUUUUUUUUCCAUUUUUUUUUUAAAAGGGCAGCCCAGCUCCAGACUAAGCAACUGAUCCCUGGCUUAACUUUUAAAUUAAGACCAUUGUAAAUUUGGGAACUUGAGAAGAGAUAGAGAGGAUACCCAUAAUCCUUUGCAAAUGUCAAGUGGCUCUCAAUAUUGGUUACUUUUCAAAGGUAGCUAGGUUACAAUGUACUGCACUAAUGAAAAAGCCCUGUCAGGACCACUCCAUAGGGUUUCAGUCAAUAUGCAUAAUAUUAUUGGGCUUUGGAAGGAUUAAAGAUUGUUUCUCCUGCUUCCUCAUAAUAUGGUGAUCUCUUGAGCUCCAGGCACAGAAGGUGCCUCCUUGUUUAAAGAGGUACACAGAGAACUUUAGCAUUAAACAGGAGGCCAGGAUGCCCCUAUCAAUUGCUCCCCCUGGUGGCGAGCUUGUUUAUACAGACAAUAUUUUUCCAUUCAAAUAUGUCUCAGUUUUAAAUAGUUUACAUAAACUGCUCUGAUUGCUGUUAUUGAUAGUUUAUUCAUUCCAUUUAUUAAGUGAUCUUGAUAUAAAAAAAUUCCACCUGAAUCCCUUUAUCAAGUGCUUUCCAAAGGCUUAAAGGAGAAAUGAAAUGUUCUUAAAGUAAAUUUGAAAAGAUGCUUAAGAUUCUAAAUCAUUAACAGAAUAUGGGGAUGGAUUUAGAAAUUAAAAAUACAUUCUUGAACAAAAUAUCUGAAAAAUCAUUUCCAUUUUACAUAUCUGUCUGAAGUUGAAUUCAGUACUGAGGUUUCCUGUCCAAGUGUUUUAUUUCUUGACAAACACCUGAUGCAGAAUAAAGAAUUAUAAUACUUAACACUUACAUAGAGAUUUAUAUUUUCAGAGACUGAUCUCUUCACCUCCAUGGAAGUUUUAUCUGAGGAAGGAGUGUAGGAUCAAGCACUCAAAACAAUGUAAAUAUGUAUUGUUAUGAGCUCUUUGUUUUCUGUAUUAAGUGACUUUGAAGGCAUCAUCUCUUGCAGAAGACACCUGAACUGCUGAAUUCAGACCGGAAUUCUGUCAGAUACAAUAACCUUUUGGAAAAAAUUUCACUUCCCCUUCAAGUUUGUAUUACCUUGUUCUGAUAUUAAAUACAAUUUCAACUAACCCUGUAACAGUUAGCUCCUCAACUUCCUUCUGAAUUUUACAGACUUUGGUGAUGUUCCCUCUGAAUCUACUUUUUACAAAUACAUAUAUAGAAAUUGUGGGUAAAAUUCUGCUCUUACACUGACAUAACUCCACUCAAGUCAAUGAAAUUACUUCAGAUUUACCCCAGUAUAAUGAAGAGCAGAAACUGGCCUAUUUCGAUAACAAUUCUUCUUGAAUCUCUGAAGCAUGCUGGCUGUCACUGCUGUACUUUCUCCAGUUCUAAAAUAUGCUUUUUAUAUUGUAAUGACAGUGGUUCAUGGUAUCUAAAUGUGGCCUUGCUAGUACAUUGUAUUAGAGUUGGAAUCAUCCCUCAUAUUGACUUGAUAUCUUGAGAUUUGCAAAGCACAACUAUUAUCUCUGAAGACGAUAGUUCUAAAAUAUUAAUGUUUUUCUAUUAUUAACUUUAUCUUUACGGUAUACAAAGAAAAUGAGAUAAGAAACCAGAACCUAUACAUUUAUGUAGGUAAAGAAGCAAUAUUUUUAACUCAGCCCAGUGAAAUAUUAUAGCCAAAAAUGAUUAUGUGCGUUGCAAAAAAUGACGUAACAUCAGACCUUCACAAUACAACUUGAGCAAAGGCCUUGAUACAAACAAAUAUGUAGCAAAAUCUCCCAAUAGGAUGUUUCUGGCCAUAUUUACA
Molecule: long non-coding RNA, 3880 nt
Organism: Dermochelys coriacea (leatherback sea turtle)
Lineage: Eukaryota; Metazoa; Chordata; Testudines; Dermochelyidae
Exons: 2
Source: RefSeq, a predicted model, not a curated record